This 32-nucleotide non-coding RNA is filed under the name Homo sapiens (human). Lineage: Eukaryota; Metazoa; Chordata; Mammalia; Primates; Hominidae. The record is from RNAcentral.
CCGCAGAACUUGGUGUCUGCCUCCCAUGGCGC